GACAGAGGGUGCAAACGUUGUUCGGAAUUACUGGGCGUAAAGCGCGUGUAGGCGGCUGCGCAAGUCGGAUGUGAAAUCCCGUGGCUCAACCACGGAAGUGCACCCGAAACUGCGUAGCUUGAGUCUCGGAGAGGAAGGUGGAAUGCUUGGUGUAGAGGUGAAAUUCGUAGAUAUCGGGAGGAACACCGGUGGCGAAGGCGGCGACCUGGGUCGAUACUGACGCUGAGGUGCGAAAGCGUGGGGAGCAAACAGG
RNAcentral lists this ribosomal RNA (253 nucleotides) under uncultured bacterium. RNAcentral describes it as "partial 16S ribosomal RNA". It matches the Rfam family "Bacterial small subunit ribosomal RNA", at positions 524 to 776 of the family's 1533-position model. The record is from RNAcentral.